GAAGUACUCCUUCCGUCCAAAAAUACUUGUCAUCAAAAUAAAUAGGGAAUGUAUCUAGAUGUAUUUUAGCUAUAUAUAUAUAUCUCUUUUUGUCUAUUUUGAUGACAAGUAUUUUCGGACGGAGGGAGUACGAC
Molecule: non-coding RNA, 134 nt
Organism: Triticum aestivum (bread wheat)
Lineage: Eukaryota; Viridiplantae; Streptophyta; Magnoliopsida; Poales; Poaceae
Source: Rfam